RNAcentral lists this small RNA (498 nucleotides) under Histoplasma capsulatum. Its description in RNAcentral is "hypothetical RNA". RNAcentral also lists the same sequence under 1 other name. The record is from RNAcentral. Lineage: Eukaryota; Fungi; Ascomycota; Eurotiomycetes; Onygenales; Ajellomycetaceae.
ACCACUGCUAAUCUAUACUGCUGCCAAUCUAUCUAUUGCUGCUAAUCUAUCACUGCUGCCAAUCUAUCUAUCACUGUUAAUCUAUCUAUUGCUGUCAAUCUAUCUAUCACUGCUAAUCUAUCACUGCUAAUCUAUCACUGCUAAUCUAUCACUGCUAAUCUAUCUAUCACUGCUAAUCUAUCACUGCCAAUCUAUCUACCACUGCCAAUCUAUCUACUGCUGCCAACCUACCUACCACUGCUAAUCUAUCACUGCUAAUCUAUCACUACCAAUCUAUAUAGAGUAAAUCAUGGUCCCAUUUGGUCCCAUUUUGUAAAAUGGGAUCAAAUGAGACUGAAAUCACUAAUUUAUUAGUAAAACAUAAUCUGGGACUAGAUUUAUAAUAUAAACAGUGUAAAGUGACUAAUUUACUAAACACUAUAUGGAACCAGAACUAAGAUAUCUAAUAAUGAAACUGAGGAAAAAUUUGAUCUCAGUCCCAUGCAUGGUCACACAGCC